UGAGUUCUCAGUAAAAGAAACCCUGACUCACACAGAUUGAACAAGAGACUAUUUUGUCUGACAAACACCAUGUCCAGAGGUCACCCAGUUGACAGAACCUCCAAUGUAAAAUUGACCAGUGGUUUUAUUCUUUCAAACCUGAUGUCGAUGGGAAUGAUUCCAAAGUUUCUGAUGAAGUACAAUAUCUGCUAAAAUGGUUGAUAACAGAUGUACCUUGUCAGGCAUCAAAAUUACCUUGGACCCAAGGAAGAAGAAAAUCGUUUGACCAUGCAAAGACUCGUACAUGAAUGCUCAUGGCAGAUUUUAUUUGUUAUAGCCCCAAAGCGAAGACAAUCCAACAUCCAUUAGCAUGUGAGUGGCAAAACAAAUUGUGGUCUCUCUGUAUGAUGGAAUACUAUUUAGCAAUAAAAAGGAUUGAACUAUUGAUAGACACAACAACAUGAAACUUAAAUAUGGUGAAAGAACCCGA
Phacochoerus africanus (Common warthog) is the source of this 469-nucleotide long non-coding RNA. RefSeq lists it as uncharacterized. The record is from RefSeq and is a predicted model, not a curated record. NCBI's taxonomy places the organism in Eukaryota, Metazoa, Chordata, Mammalia, Artiodactyla, Suidae. The transcript has 3 exons.